GACGUCGAUAUUCGACGUCAUAAACACGAUCAACUUUGGUGUUUAAGACGUCGAUAUUCGACGUCAUAAACAGGAACAAGUUUGGUGUUUAUGACGUCGAUAUUCGACGUCAUAAACACGAUCAACUUUGGUGUUUAUGACGUCGAUACUCGACGUCAUAAAUACGAUCAACUUUGGUGUUUAUGACGUCGAUAUUCGACGUCAUAAACACGAUCAACUUUGGUGUUUAUGACGUCGAUAUUCGACGUC
Paramuricea clavata is the source of this 249-nucleotide non-coding RNA. The record is from the annotation of a GenBank genome assembly. Lineage: Eukaryota; Metazoa; Cnidaria; Anthozoa; Malacalcyonacea; Plexauridae.